RNAcentral lists this unclassified non-coding RNA (240 nucleotides) under soil metagenome. RNAcentral's name for it is "partial contains 5.8S ribosomal RNA, internal transcribed spacer 2, and large subunit ribosomal RNA". The record is from RNAcentral.
AACCUAGCACACCUGCGGUGUGUACCUGCGGAAGGAUCAUCAAAGAAUUUUCCAAAGAGAAAAUUGAGUUGCUCCUUCUUUUCUUGUAAAAGAGAGAGAAGCGCUCUUUUUUCUCCAAACAAACGAUCACAACUAUUGAAAAAAUAAUUGACUUGGUUGAUGAGAAAUUAUAAGUGUUUGCCUGAUAAUUUGAUGAUUUGGAAACAAGAGAAAGAAAUACAACUUUUAACAAUGGAUCUC